RNAcentral lists this ribosomal RNA (660 nucleotides) under uncultured bacterium. Its description in RNAcentral is "bacterial SSU rRNA". It matches the Rfam family "Bacterial small subunit ribosomal RNA", at positions 94 to 788 of the family's 1533-position model. The record is from RNAcentral.
AGUGGCGGACGGGUGAGUAACGCGUGAGAAUCUGCCUUGGGGUCGGGGACAACCACUGGAAACGGUGGCUAAUACCGGAUAAGCCGAUUGGUGAAAGAUUUAUUGCCCGAAGAGGAGCUCGCGUCUGAUUAGCUAGUUGGUGAGGUAAGAGCUCACCAAGGCAGCGAUCAGUAGCUGGUCUGAGAGGACGAUCAGCCACACUGGGACUGAGACACGGCCCAGACUCCUACGGGAGGCAGCAGUGGGGAAUUUUCCGCAAUGGGCGAAAGCCUGACGGAGCAAGACCGCGUGAGGGAGGAAUGCUCUUGGGUUGUAAACCUCUUUUCUCAGGGAAGAAGCUCUGACGGUACCUGAGGAAUCAGCCUCGGCUAACUCCGUGCCAGCAGCCGCGGUAAUACGGAGGAGGCAAGCGUUAUCCGGAAUUAUUGGGCGUAAAGCGUCCGCAGGUGGCGAUUCAAGUCUGCUGUCAAAGCACGGGGCUUAACUCCGUAAAGGCAGUGGAAACUGAAUAGCUAGAGUGCCGUAGGGGUAGAGGGAAUUCCCGGUGUAGCGGUGAAAUGCGUAGAGAUCGGGAAGAACAUCGGUGGCGAAAGCGCUCUACUGGACGGCAACUGACACUCAGGGACGAAAGCUAGGGGAGCGAAUGGGAUUAGAUACCCC